GCAUAUGCUGGUUUUUUCAACAGGGCGCUCACCAAACUUACAGCGUUUGACGUAAUAAAGGGGUGCAAGAGAAAGAAAAAGAAGCCGGAAGGAUUUUGAAACUGAUAUUUCAAGACAUACGUGAACAGAACAAUCCCAAUCAGAAAGGCUGAUGCAGGAACUGUGUAGAGUAUCCAAUCAGCAUCAGAAAGAAGACCUUGAUGUACACGCAAAGAUGGGCAAACCAGAAUUGACAGUGAAAGAGAGGAGGAGAAAGA
Molecule: long non-coding RNA, 257 nt
Organism: Sinocyclocheilus anshuiensis
Lineage: Eukaryota; Metazoa; Chordata; Actinopteri; Cypriniformes; Cyprinidae
Exons: 3
Source: RefSeq, a predicted model, not a curated record